Molecule: non-coding RNA, 73 nt
Organism: Oxytricha trifallax
Lineage: Eukaryota; Ciliophora; Spirotrichea; Sporadotrichida; Oxytrichidae
Source: Rfam
GUUCCUGUAGCACAAUCGGUAGCGCGUUGGUCUUAUGAACCAAAGGUCGUGGGUUCGAUUCCCACCUGGAACA